GAUGAAGAACGCAGUGAAAUGCGAUAAGUAAUGUGAAUUGCAGAAUUCAGUGAAUCAUCGAAUCUUUGAACGCACCUUGCGCUCUUUGGUAUUCCGAAGAGCAUGCCUGUUUGAGUGUCAUGAAAAUAUCAACCUUGACUUGGGUUUUGUGCUCUAGUCUCGGCUUGGAAUUGGGUGCUUGCCGCUUUUACGAGCGGCUCACCUUAAAUGUAUUAGCUGGAUCUGUCUUUGAGACUUGGUUUGACUUGGCGUAAUAAGUAUUUCGCUAAGGACAUUCUUCGGAGUGGCCUCGUUUCUAGGACGCUUGUCCGCUUUCCAAUACAAGUUCCACCUCGUGGACAUGACUUUUUAUUAUCUGGCCUCAAAUCAGGUAGGACUACCCGCUGAACUUAAGCAUAUCAAUAAGCUGAGGA
RNAcentral lists this unclassified non-coding RNA (413 nucleotides) under soil metagenome. RNAcentral's name for it is "partial contains 5.8S ribosomal RNA, internal transcribed spacer 2, and large subunit ribosomal RNA". The stretch from base 1 to 120 matches the Rfam family "5.8S ribosomal RNA", at positions 35 to 154 of the family's 154-position model. The record is from RNAcentral.